CCUACGGGGGGCUGCAGUGGGGAAUCUUGGUCAAUGGGCGAAAGCCUGAACCUGCGACGCCGCGUGAGUGAUGAAGGUCGUAAGAUCGUAAAACUCUUUUCAGGGACAUUAAAGCUCCGGCUCUAACAUAGCCUGGAGUCUGACUAUCCCUGGAAUAAGCCCCAGCCAACUACGUGCCAGCAGCUGCGGUAAUACGUAGGGGGCGAGCGUUAUUCGGAAUUACUGGGUGUAAAGGGUAUGUAGGCGGCCUGACAAGUCGCGUGUCAAAGUCCAGCGCUCAACGCUGGGUUCGCACGCGAUACUGUCAGGCUUGAGGACUGGAGAGGUGAGCGGAAUUCCCGGUGUAGUGGUAAAAUACGUAGAUAUCGGGAGGAACACCAGCGGCGUAGGCGGCUCACUAGACAGUUUCUGACGCUAAGAUACGAAAGCGUGGGGAGCAAACAGGAUUAGAUACCCCAGUAGUC
RNAcentral lists this ribosomal RNA (464 nucleotides) under uncultured Caldisericum sp. RNAcentral describes it as "bacterial SSU rRNA". It matches the Rfam family "Bacterial small subunit ribosomal RNA", at positions 338 to 795 of the family's 1533-position model. Lineage: Bacteria; Pseudomonadati; Caldisericota; Caldisericia; Caldisericales; Caldisericaceae. The record is from RNAcentral.